This 1339-nucleotide long non-coding RNA is filed under the name Sus scrofa (pig). RNAcentral describes it as "lncRNA (ENSSSCG00050068650.1)". Lineage: Eukaryota; Metazoa; Chordata; Mammalia; Artiodactyla; Suidae. The record is from RNAcentral.
GCUGGAAUGAACUUUAAACUCUAAGUUUAAAGAGUCAAAAUGAAGCCAAGUUCUAAUUGAAAUAAUUAUUUUAAGAUUUUUAAAAAAAAUUUUGUUCUAGUUUACACCAGAUCUUCAAAGUAACAGAAAAAAGUAAUCAAGACUUAGUUACAUCUUAAUUGUUAUUCUUUUGAUAAUUUUUUAAAUAGAAAAGCCAGUACUGAUUAGAUCAUAAUCAAAAUGCUCCCCAGUGCAGCUGUUCUCAUCCGGGAGAAACUUAACCAACUGUUCAUCACUUUUAUUUUCCUUACAUCUCAUAAGGUACUUUGCAAAAACACGGCAUCUAAUAACAGCUAUUGAGCAUUUUUCCUCAUUUCAUUGCUGAUAUUAGAUCUUUGAAUCUUCCUAGCAUUUCCUUGUGGGCUGUAAUAGCCCUAUUUUUACAGGGAGUUUGGGAUGCACAGGUUAGGUAGCUUGCCCAACUACUGCUAGAUAGUGACAAAAUCAGAACUAGAAUCUAUUUUUCUGAAAGUCUAUAAUCUAGUGUUUCUAUCUUAAGAUGAGUUUUUAAAAAAUGAGCAUAAUGGCUUAUAACCAGGGCAACUGGGGGACCAUUUACAGGGUAGAGAGGAAUUGCCAAAGGCCUCUGAGUGUGAGAAACUUUCUGAGGAUUUCACUUUAAAGUGCUUUUGUUUACUUUGCUUUGGGUUUUUUCCUUUGGGGGGUGGAGUUUUGUUUUGUUUUGUUUUGUUUUUUGGGGGGAAGGUGGCUCUGAGGGACUGAUGAGGCCAAGGCCAGUGUAGAGCUAAGUUAUUGGGAACCUAGCUUUUAAGACCUGAUUCUAAGAAAGAGAAGCAGAGUGACUGUAGAGAUACCCUAUCUUAGAAGCCUGGCUUAGUUCAUGAAAUAAGAAGGGAAACUGAGGUUUAAGCAGAUGUUUUAGCCAAGAAGAACUGUUCAUUUGGGUAGAGAUUCUCUCCUGAUAUAGACCUCUGGAUAACUGACCACAGUGGAUAGGACCUAGUGGAUGGGGCAGGGGUUCUGCAAGUGUUGUCUAAGGACCCUUGAGGGUGGCCCUCCAGGUCUUUCCAGGGGGCCAGCCAGGGUAAAACUAUUUUUUUUUUUUUUUUUGCCUCUGUGACAUAUGGAGGUUCCCAGGCUAGGGGUCGAAUCCGAGCUAGAGCUGUUGGCCUACACCACAGCCACAGCAACGUAGGAUCUGAGCUGCCUCUGUGACCUACACCACAGCUCAUGGCAACGCCAGAUCCUUAACCCACUUCGCGAGGCCAGGGAUCGAACCACAACCUCAUGGUUCCUAGUUGGAUUCGUUUCCGCUGCGCCACCACGGGAACUCCAACUA